AGAGUUUGAUCCUGGCUCAGGAUGAACGCUGGCGGCGUGCCUAAUACAUGCAAGUCGAACGCACAGCGAAAGGUGCUUGCACCUUUCAAGUGAGUGGCAAACGGGUGAGUAACACGUGGACAACCUGCCUCAAGGCUGGGGAUAACAUUUGGAAACAGAUGCUAAUACCGAAUAAAACUCAGUGUCGCAUGACACAAAGUUAAAAGGCGCUUUGGCGUCACCUAGAGAUGGAUCCGCGGUGCAUUAGUUAGUUGGUGGGGUAAAGGCCUACCAAGACAAUGAUGCAUAGCCGAGUUGAGAGACUGAUCGGCCACAUUGGGACUGAGACACGGCCCAAACUCCUACGGGAGGCUGCAGUAGGGAAUCUUCCACAAUGGGCGAAAGCCUGAUGGAGCAACGCCGCGUGUGUGAUGAAGGCUUUCGGGUCGUAAAGCACUGUUGUAUGGGAAGAACAGCUAGAAUAGGGAAUGAUUUUAGUUUGACGGUACCAUACCAGAAAGGGACGGCUAAAUACGUGCCAGCAGCCGCGGUAAUACGUAUGUCCCGAGCGUUAUCCGGAUUUAUUGGGCGUAAAGCGAGCGCAGACGGUUGAUUAAGUCUGAUGUGAAAGCCCGGAG
Molecule: ribosomal RNA, 617 nt
Filed under: uncultured bacterium
Lineage: Bacteria
Description: bacterial SSU rRNA
Rfam family: Bacterial small subunit ribosomal RNA
Source: RNAcentral